GUAAGAUGGACAUAAGGAAAUGGGAGAUAAAAGAUGGAUAUGUGAUCUGGGAAUGAGACAAUGAAGUUUCAGAGAUGGAGCAGUUCUGGCUUAUUUAAGGAGAAACACAGAGGCUUCUCCUGAGAGCACUCUCUCAAUCAAGAGUUCCCAUCUCAGGAUCUGCUCCUACAAGAACCAACUUAGGAUAGUAAUGAUGUUUAUCACUUAUUUAUCUUGUUCCAUAUAUUAUGGGAUCCUUGGGGUGUUGCUUCACCAGCCAGGAGCCACUGUGGACAGGGGUGCCUUUGCCUGAGUUUUCUUCAGGCCCACUGGGCCCACUCAACCUGGUGGACUGUGCUUGGUUUGCGCUACUGGCCUGGAUCCCAUGCCUGCCAAGGGGCCACCGACAGUGCAGAGGUGCCCAGGUCCGCGGCCACAGCUUGGGCGGCUGCUGCUGCACCCAGGAGGGCAGAUCUCUUGCCUGCUGUCUACCUGCAAGAGCAGAGGGAUGCCUGGGUCUGCAGGGGCAACUAGGUGCCUGCAACUGCACCCAGGGAUCGAGAGGCUCCAUCCCGCCAGCUCGGAAGGGGGUAGGGCUUCCUCCUGUUCAUGGCUCCCACCAGCUGGGUACACAUGAAGCCCAAGCUGCACCUCCCCUACUGCUGCUGGCAUCAUGGCAGCAGCCGCGUCUGGGGCCACCACUGCCAUCACAUAGAUGCCAUAUUGCUACUCAUUGAAAUUCCUAAAGAGGUGUCUUUUAAAAUACUGUUUGGC
RNAcentral lists this long non-coding RNA (753 nucleotides) under Pan troglodytes (chimpanzee). Its description in RNAcentral is "long non-coding RNA NONPTRT013712". Lineage: Eukaryota; Metazoa; Chordata; Mammalia; Primates; Hominidae. The record is from RNAcentral.